This 253-nucleotide ribosomal RNA is filed under the name uncultured bacterium. RNAcentral describes it as "partial 16S ribosomal RNA". It matches the Rfam family "Bacterial small subunit ribosomal RNA", at positions 524 to 776 of the family's 1533-position model. The record is from RNAcentral.
UACGGGGGGGGAAAGCGUUGUUCGGAAUUACUGGGCGUAAAGGGCUCGUAGGCGGCCAACUAAGUCAGACGUGAAAUCCCUCAGCUUAACUGGGGAACUGCGUCUGAUACUGGAUGGCUUGGAUCCGGGAGAGGGAUGCGGAAUUCCAGGUGUAGCGGUGAAAUGCGUAGAUAUCUGGAGGAACACCGGUGGCGAAGGCGGCAUCCUGGACCGGUAUUGACGCUGAGGAGCGAAAGCCAGGGGAGCAAACGGG